GACGAACGCUGGCGGCGUGCCUAAUACAUGCAAGUUGAGCGAUGAAGAUUGGUGCUUGCACCAAUUUGAAGAGCAGCUAACGGGUGAGUAACGCGUGGGGAAUCUGCCUUUUAGCGGGGGACAACAUUUGGAAACGAAUGCUAAUACCGCAUAACAACUUUAAACAUAAGUUUUAAGUUUGAAAGAUGCAAUUGCAUCACUCAAAGAUGAUCCCGCGUUGUAUUAGCUAGUUGGUGAGGUAAAGGCUCACCAAGGCGAUGAUACAUAGCCGACCUGAGAGGGUGAUCGGCCAAAAUGGGAAUGGGACAAGGCCCAAAAUCCUACGGGAGGCAGCAGUAGGGGAUCUUCGGCAAUGGACGAAAGUCUGAACGAGCAACGCCGCGUGAGUGAAGAAGGGUUUCGGAUCGUAAAACUCUGUUGGUAGAGAAGAAAGUUGGUGAGAGUGGAAAGCUCAUCAAGUGACGGUAACUAAACAGAAAGGGACGGCUAACUACGUG
RNAcentral lists this ribosomal RNA (497 nucleotides) under uncultured bacterium. Its description in RNAcentral is "partial 16S ribosomal RNA". It matches the Rfam family "Bacterial small subunit ribosomal RNA", at positions 28 to 507 of the family's 1533-position model. The record is from RNAcentral.